GGUGAGUUCGUUUAACGGUUAGGAUUCCGGCCUGUCACGCCGGGGACACGGGUUCGAUUCCCGUACUCACCGCCA
Molecule: transfer RNA, 75 nt
Filed under: Xanthomonas phage XacN1
Lineage: Duplodnaviria; Heunggongvirae; Uroviricota; Caudoviricetes
Description: tRNA-Asp
Rfam family: tRNA
About the family: Transfer RNA (tRNA) molecules are approximately 80 nucleotides in length. Their secondary structure includes four short double-helical elements and three loops (D, anti-codon, and T loops). Further hydrogen bonds mediate the characteristic L-shaped molecular structure. tRNAs have two regions of fundamental functional importance: the anti-codon, which is responsible for specific mRNA codon recognition, and the 3' end, to which the tRNAs corresponding amino acid is attached (by aminoacyl-tRNA synthetases). tRNAs cope with the degeneracy of the genetic code in two manners: having more than one tRNA (with a specific anti-codon) for a particular amino acid; and 'wobble' base-pairing, i.e. permitting non-standard base-pairing at the 3rd anti-codon position.
Source: RNAcentral